RNAcentral lists this small RNA (318 nucleotides) under Histoplasma capsulatum. RNAcentral describes it as "hypothetical RNA". The record is from RNAcentral. Lineage: Eukaryota; Fungi; Ascomycota; Eurotiomycetes; Onygenales; Ajellomycetaceae. RNAcentral also lists the same sequence under 1 other name.
CAGGCACGGUGUGGAGAUUUAUGUUGGGGGGUUCGGAUUGGUUCGUCCCCUCUACUACCAGCAUGGCGCUGGUGUGGGGGAGCUCUUUUGCCCCAGUGACCUAACAAUUUAUACUAUCGACGAAGCAUCCGCGAUCGCGACGGAAUGGGUGGACGUUGCCGGCGUCGCGUCUUUCGGAGGAACGGCGGCUAUUCCCACUACUUUACAGCUGUGGGGCAGCAUUCUCUGGAAGAGGGUGGUCCAAUAUACUGCUAUUUUUCUGACAUUUGUAUGGGUUAAUUGUAUACUUCAACCAAGUUUAUAAACAAAUAAUGAGCU